GCGAGCCCGGGGGCGGGGCCGAAGGGCGAGCCGGGCGGGAGGAGUCCGAGCCUUUGCCGCCGCUGCCGCCGCCGCCAGUGGGAUUGUCCAAAACACUCUGGAUUCUUCUGUGUUGGAACUGUUGCCAUGGAGACCUCCUGAGAUGCUACAGUACCAGUGGCUUCCAGUUUAACGUCCAGAGAGAGAUCCCACACCCUAUGGACCCACAGGCUGGUUUUUCUGGUUUGUUUCCCCUAGGGCAAUUGGCAUAUUUCUCCAAGAACCUUCAAGAAGCUGAACAGCCUGUUUUCAGACUUAGAGAGGGGAGGCCAACAACUGUUUCCUGAAA
Non-coding RNA from Leptonychotes weddellii (Weddell seal), 328 nucleotides. Lineage: Eukaryota; Metazoa; Chordata; Mammalia; Carnivora; Phocidae. The record is from RefSeq and is a predicted model, not a curated record.